RNAcentral lists this ribosomal RNA (442 nucleotides) under uncultured bacterium. RNAcentral describes it as "partial 16S ribosomal RNA". It matches the Rfam family "Bacterial small subunit ribosomal RNA", at positions 338 to 795 of the family's 1533-position model. The record is from RNAcentral.
CCUACGGGAGGCAGCAGUAGGGAAUCUUUCACAAUGGGCGAAAGCCUGAUGGAGCAACGCCGCGUGAAGGAUGAAGGCCUUCGGGUUGUAAACUGCUUUUAUAAGCGAGGAAUAUGAUGAUAACUUAUGAAUAAGGAUCGGCGAAAUACGUGCCAGCAGCCGCGGUCAUACGUCGUAUCCGAGAAUUAUCAGGGGUGACUGGGGGUAAAGAGUUGCGUGAGUUGGAUAAGAAGGAGAUAGUGAAAUCAGGUGGGCCAACCAUUCAGACUAUUAGCUAAACUGUUAAGCUCGAGCACGUGAGAGGUAAGUGGAAUUUCUAGUGUAGGGGUGAAAUCCGUAGAUAUUAGAAGGAACACCAAUAGCGUAGGCAGGUUACUGGGACGGAUCUGACGCUGAGGCACGAAAGCGUAGGGAGCAAACGGGAUUAGAUACCCGGGUAGUC